Triticum aestivum (bread wheat) is the source of this 1920-nucleotide long non-coding RNA. RefSeq lists it as uncharacterized. The transcript has 4 exons. The record is from RefSeq and is a predicted model, not a curated record. NCBI's taxonomy places the organism in Eukaryota, Viridiplantae, Streptophyta, Magnoliopsida, Poales, Poaceae.
UAGCGACGACUUAAGCGGCUGGAGAAGGGUGGAGUGGACAGGAAGAAACCAGACGGAUGUAGGCGGCGGCAUCUCAACCCGUUCCCCUUUUCUCCUUCCCUUCUAUUUCCUCUUCCGUUGCCACAAAUUGGCUUGUAUCCAGACUCAAUUGGCUAUAGAUCGAACUGAGAUAGUAACACAUUACAUCCAACUUUUUCUUUUGAGAAGCAUUAUGGGCCUGAUGAUCAGCUGCCACACACCUCAACGAUCAAAAGCCCACCGACUUAUUACAGUAGCCAGCCCACUCGUGUGGUCAGUCACGUGGCCGAGUGGCAGAGUUGCCGCUGGACACCUUCUUCCGUCCCGACGGCCGGCCGCAUCCAAUUUUCCUCGCCGCAGGGCCUGCCUCGCCGCCCGCUGCUGCCAGCGCACUCCGGCGUCUCGCAGCGGCGGUCACCAGACACCGACCCCAACACCGCCUCCCUCCUCUCUGCGCCCGCCCCAUCUCAUCCCCCCCACUCCACGCCCUCCCUUGCCGCCCGCGCUCGCUCGACUCCCUCCUCGCCGCGCCCUCCCACGCCUGCACUCCUCUUUUGCCCUCUCCCUCCCCGAAUGCCACCGCUUUCCGCGCCCCUCCGUGCCAAGCAAGCCUCUUUCGCGCCCCCACUCUUCCCCGCCCAGGCAACCGGACUCCCUCGCCGCGUUCAACUCCCCCCCUUGGCCGCGCUCGCCCGCGUCUGCCCGUGACCUCCCUGGCAUGACCCAGCUCUUUUCCUCCAUGCGGGACGCCGGCGUCCGGCCCGACGUCGUCACGUACGGCGUGCUAGCCAUCGGGCUCUGCCAAGCCGGCCGCGCUCAGGGCGCUCGACGGAAUGCCCGGCCCAAACUCUGGCGUUCGCCCGGCUCGGAUGUCGUCAUUCAUGCCGAACACGGUCGUGGAUGGGAUGCGCAAGAGCGGGAGGAUCCAGGCGGCCGUUGCGUUCGCGGAGGACUGCUGCUUGGCUGACGUUGCGGCAGACGGAUCCUGCUACGUGGGGAAUGUGACUGCUGCUUGGCUUUCCAGGCGGCGGAGAGGAUGGAGAAGGAGAGCUUUCCUCCAUUUUGUUCCAUGAGAUGGUGGAUGAAGGGCACUCAACAGAUGCAGUUAUGCAUUUUACCAUGAUAUUGUGAUUCUUUAGCAGGAGGAACAGGUUAAAACUCACAAGAGGCUUGGUGUACUUUACACCGUGUACACCUACAAUACUUUGUUGUCUGGUUAAGUAGGAGAUUUUCUCAACUCUGGGUGAGUUAUUGGGGAAGAUGAUGGAUGAUGGUUGCCUGCAAGUACACGGAUAUUGACCAAGUGGUCAGCUUGGUAAGCUAUCAAAAAAAAAGUACACGGAUAUUGCAAAGUUGGUCAAAUGAUGAGGCAUUGAGGAUUUUCCGGUCUAUGGAUGAAUCUGCAAAUGCAGGGAGUAGCAUACGAUGGAUGUAAUUUUCUGUUGCAUCAAAAAGCAAGUUAACUCGGCAUAUGCAGUAGCAACUACCAACCAUUCAUACUGGAGCAAAGGUCCAAGUAUAGAUUGGACAAGAAGCAGGGUGAUGCCCUUUUUUUCUGCCAACCCUGGAAGUGAGGAUGUCGAGUUGCAGGUCCAUAACAAAGAUGCAAGAAGUCCAUCUAAAGCAAUCACAUCUACAGGUCCAUCACACCAAACCGUCGGAAAUAUUCUAUAAAGUUCAAAUUUACCAUGCAUGUUGAGUGAACAGGUGCAGUAUUGGACAAACAUAAAUAUAGCUAGAGAAUGGUACACGUCUUAAAAGGAAAGGAGACCUCAUCAUCGUCAUCAGCGAGGAUCUUGGAGCAGUUGAAGCAGACGCAGCGCAUGAUGGAGAGCACGGUCUUGAUGAAGCCGAUGUGGAACAUGGGCUUUGCGAGCUCGAGGUGGCCGAAGUGGCCCGGGC